Molecule: ribosomal RNA, 497 nt
Filed under: uncultured bacterium
Lineage: Bacteria
Description: partial 16S ribosomal RNA
Rfam family: Bacterial small subunit ribosomal RNA
Source: RNAcentral
GAUGAACGCUGGCGGCGUGCCUAAUACAUGCAAGUCGAGCGAACAGACGAGGAGCUUGCUCCUCUGACUUUAGCGCCGGACGGGUGAUUAACACGUGGUUAACCUACCUAUACGACUGGGAUAACUUCGGGAAACCGGAGCUAAUACCCGAUAAUAUAUUGAACCGCAUGGUUCAAUAGUGAAAGACGGUUUUGCUUUCACUUAUAGCUUACUCCGCGCCGCAUUCACUAGUUGGUAGGGUAACGGCUUAGCAAGGCAACGAUGCGUAGCCGACCUGAGAGGGUGAUCGGCCACACUGGAACUGAGACACGGUCCAGACUCCUACGGGAGGCACCAGUAGGGAAUCUUCCGGAAUGGGCGAAAGCGUGACGGAGCAACGCCGCGUGAGUGAUGAAGGUCUUCGGAUCGUAAAACUCUGUUAGUAGGGAAGAACAAAUGUGUAAGUAACUAUGCACGUCUAGACGGUACCUAAUCAGAAAGCCACGGCUAACUACGUG